RNAcentral lists this non-coding RNA (26 nucleotides) under Mus musculus (house mouse). The record is from RNAcentral. Lineage: Eukaryota; Metazoa; Chordata; Mammalia; Rodentia; Muridae.
UGCUGUUUAAUUCAUGGAGCUAGUCU